RNAcentral lists this ribosomal RNA (460 nucleotides) under uncultured bacterium. RNAcentral describes it as "bacterial SSU rRNA". It matches the Rfam family "Bacterial small subunit ribosomal RNA", at positions 29 to 507 of the family's 1533-position model. The record is from RNAcentral.
AUUGAACGCUAGCGGGAUGCCUUACACAUGCAAGUCGAACGGCAGCACGGGGCAACCUGGUGGCGAGUGGCGAACGGGUGAGUAAUACAUCGGAACGUGCCCAAUCGUGGGGGAUAACGUAGCGAAAGUUACGCUAAUACCGCAUACGUCCUGAGGGAGAAAGCGGGGGACCGAAAGGCCUCGCGCGAUUGGAGCGGCCGAUGUCGGAUUAGCUAGUUGGUGGGGUAAAGGCCUACCAAGGCGACGAUCCGUAGCGGGUCUGAGAGGAUGAUCCGCCACACUGGGACUGAGAUACGGCCCAGACUCCUACGGGAGGCAGCAGUUGGGAAUCUUAGGCAAUGGACGAAAGUCUGACCUAGCGACGCCGCGUGAGGGAAGAAGGCCUUCGGGUUGUAAACCUCUGUCAUGGGGGAAGAAGGAAGUGACGGUACCCCAAGAGGAAGCCCCUGCUAACUACGUG